AUUGCAUGGUAUACCCUCUAAAUCUUUCCCAAACCUCACAAAAAGAUUCAUGAUUCUUCUGAAUAAAACUUGAGAUUUUAUUUC
RNAcentral lists this small nucleolar RNA (84 nucleotides) under Eutrema salsugineum. RNAcentral's name for it is "Plant small nucleolar RNA R71". It matches the Rfam family "Plant small nucleolar RNA R71", at positions 17 to 100 of the family's 107-position model. Rfam says of the family: R71 is a member of the C/D box family of snoRNAs containing the C (UGAUGA) and D (CUGA) box motifs. Multiple nearly identical copies of this snoRNA have been identified in Arabidopsis, and it is thought to function as a 2'-O-ribose methylation guide for 18S ribosomal RNA. The record is from Rfam by way of RNAcentral. Lineage: Eukaryota; Viridiplantae; Streptophyta; Magnoliopsida; Brassicales; Brassicaceae.